This 1366-nucleotide long non-coding RNA is filed under the name Cottoperca gobio. RNAcentral's name for it is "lncRNA (ENSCGOG00000004466.1)". The record is from RNAcentral. Lineage: Eukaryota; Metazoa; Chordata; Actinopteri; Perciformes; Bovichtidae.
UGUCUGUGUUUUAGGACUUUCCUCCAGGUGACGUCAGGAUGUUUGGGGUCUUCAUUUCUGAACUUGGGCGUCACUCUCUGGCUGAGGACAGACCUGAAGAAGUCCAACUAUCAGACGGGUUUAUCUCUCUUCAACACUCCCAAAACAGUCUGAACUCCGUCCAGCCUGCGGGACCUUCGCAAGACCCAGGCUCCUCCCACACUCCUGUCACUAGGGAGCGACAGAAGAACAGUGAGCGGCAGCGAGCCCACAGCACCUCAACUUUGGCAGCCUCCGUUGGCCUGCCCUCUCCCCUCUCUCCACUGCACAGUGCUGAGUGGCAUGCUAGCGAGAGGCUGAGCCAAGCCAACUUGGAUGCCAUCACCUUCCCAGGCAUCCCGCAACCCAGCACAGGUGAUGGUGAUGGCAGUAACACUACUGGCUUCAAUGAAACCCUGGUGAUGGACAGACAGACAAGACACAGUUUGAGUGACGCCAGCAUAUUAGAAGACACUGCAAAGGACAUGUAUAGAGGAAGAGCUUUCAGUUUAGAGAUGAGAGCAGGUUAUUCUGCAGAAAACAGUAAACAAGUUUUGCCCCAUUUCCAGUUUACAUCCCCACCAAACACGACGGACAGUGGAAACAUCAUGUCAUCUCCUCCCCCAUCCUCCCAUUCGUCCAUUCCCCAACACCUGUUCUCACUGCGGAUCUCAGAGUCCAGCCUCUUCAGCUCUAUCGACCAGCAGCAACUACUAGAAUCCUCCACAGGCCAAUCGCAGAAGAACUUUGAUGAGGUCUUCCUCCAAAAUCCUGCCUCUCCGUCACCUCCUCUGCCAAUCAAAGAGACUAGCAUCUUGGAGGACUUUCCUCCUCCUCCUCCCCUGGAGUUAGAGCAGGAAGCUGGACACCAGACUGUGGAAAGGUUUGUUGUAGAAUAUUUUUAAACCUGAAUUGAAAUAUUAUGAUUAUGGACCUUUUUUUAAUUUUCUCUUUUUCCAUUUCUCCGUUCUCUUCCCUGUAUUCAGUCCUACCAUGGAGUUCCUAAACAACUCCAUCAUUACUACCAGGAAGUUAUCCCUGCACUCCCCUUCAAUGUCACCUUCCUCCUCCGUAUUUCCUUUGCCUUGGCCCAUCCUUCUUCCAACCCAGAAGCCACAGCCCUCCACCAUCACCUCCAUCACCACAUCCACUACAACCAAGGACAGCCUAAGUCUAGAGUACCAGCCCCUGCCCAAGAGGGAAAAGACAUCCGAUGAGCUACGAGUGGAGGCGCUGGCCCUUCAGCUGGUGGGUACCAGGAGCUGUAACUGCUAACUCAUCAGUGUACCUAGUUCUCACUCAUACUUAUUUCUCACACUAUCUUUGUCUUUGUACAUAGUUUAGACUC